This 892-nucleotide ribosomal RNA is filed under the name Streptomyces sp. RNAcentral's name for it is "bacterial SSU rRNA". It matches the Rfam family "Bacterial small subunit ribosomal RNA", at positions 8 to 916 of the family's 1533-position model. Lineage: Bacteria; Bacillati; Actinomycetota; Actinomycetes; Kitasatosporales; Streptomycetaceae. The record is from RNAcentral.
AGAGUUUGAUCCUGGCUCAGGACGAACGCUGGCGGCGUGCUUAACACAUGCAAGUCGAACGAUGAACCAUUUCGGUGGGGAUUAGUGGCGAACGGGUGAGUAACACGUGGGCAAUCUGCCCUGCACUCUGGGACAAGCCCUGGAAACGGGGUCUAAUACCGGAUGACACUUCGGACUGCAUGGUCUGUGGUUGAAAGCUCCGGCGGUGCAGGAUGAGCCCGCGGCCUAUCAGCUUGUUGGUGAGGUAGUGGCUCACCAAGGCGACGACGGGUAGCCGGCCUGAGAGGGCGACCGGCCACACUGGGACUGAGACACGGCCCAGACUCCUACGGGAGGCAGCAGUGGGGAAUAUUGCACAAUGGGCGAAAGCCUGAUGCAGCGACGCCGCGUGAGGGAUGACGGCCUUCGGGUUGUAAACCUCUUUCAGCAGGGAAGAAGCGCAAGUGACGGUACCUGCAGAAGAAGCGCCGGCUAACUACGUGCCAGCAGCCGCGGUAAUACGUAGGGCGCAAGCGUUGUCCGGAAUUAUUGGGCGUAAAGAGCUCGUAGGCGGUCUGUCGCGUCGGAUGUGAAAGCCCGGGGCUUAACCCCGGGUCUGCAUUCGAUACGGGCAGACUAGAGUGUGGUAGGGGAGAUCGGAAUUCCUGGUGUAGCGGUGAAAUGCGCAGAUAUCAGGAGGAACACCGGUGGCGAAGGCGGAUCUCUGGGCCAUUACUGACGCUGAGGAGCGAAAGCGUGGGGAGCGAACAGGAUUAGAUACCCUGGUAGUCCACGCCGUAAACGGUGGGAACUAGGUGUUGGCGACAUUCCACGUCGUCGGUGCCGCAGCUAACGCAUUAAGUCCCCGCCUGGGGAGUACGGCCGCAAGGCUAAAACUCAAAGGAAUUGACGG